GGUGAACGCUGGCGGUGUGCCUAACACAUGCAAGUCGAGCGACAGCACAAUAAGAUCGUGCUCUUGCGGUUGGCGAGGGGCGGGCGAGUGAGGAGUACAUCGGAAUCUUCUUUUUCUGGGGUGAUAACGGAGGAAAACUUACACUACUACCGCAUACGACCUACGGGAUAGAUCAAUAGAUCUUCACACCUUUCGCGAUUGUAUUAGCCGACGCCGGAUUAGCUAGUUGGCAAGGUAAGGGCUCACCAAGGCAACGAUGCGUAGCGGACCUGAGAGGAUGAUCAGCCACACUGGAACUGAGACACGGUCCAGACUCCUACGGGAGGCAGCAGUAGGGAAUCUUCCGCAAUGGGCGAAAGCCUGACGGAGCAACGCCGCGUGAGUGAUGAAGGUCUUCGGGUCGUAAAGCUCUGUUAUUAGGGAAGAACAAAUGUGUAAGUAACUAUGCACGUCUUGACGGUACCUAAUGAGAAAGCCACGGCUAACUACGUG
This 492-nucleotide ribosomal RNA is filed under the name uncultured bacterium. Its description in RNAcentral is "partial 16S ribosomal RNA". It matches the Rfam family "Bacterial small subunit ribosomal RNA", at positions 28 to 507 of the family's 1533-position model. The record is from RNAcentral.